Molecule: ribosomal RNA, 497 nt
Filed under: uncultured bacterium
Lineage: Bacteria
Description: partial 16S ribosomal RNA
Rfam family: Bacterial small subunit ribosomal RNA
Source: RNAcentral
GAUGAACGCUGGCGGCGUGCCUAAUACAUGCAAGUCGAGCGAACAGACGAGGAGCUUGCUCCUCUGACGUUAGCGGCGGACGGGUGAGUAACACGUGGAUAACCUGCCUAUAAGACUGGGAUAACUUCGGGAAACCGGAGCUAAUACCGGAUAAUAUAUUGAACCGCAUGGUUCAAUAGUGAAAGACGGUUUUGCUGUCACUUAUAGAUGGAUCCGCGCCGCAUUAGCUAGUUGGUAAGGUAACGGCUUACCAAGGCAACGAUGCGUGGCCGACCUGAGAGGGUGAUCGGCCACACUGGAACUGAGACACGGUCCAGACUCCUACGGGAGGCAGCAGUAGGGAAUCUUCCGCAAUGGGCGAAAGCCUGACGGAGCAACGCCGCGUGAGUGAUGAAGGUCUUCGGAUCGUAAAACUCUGUUAUUAGGGAAGAACAAAUGUGUAAGUAACUAUGCACGUCUUGACGGUACCUAAUCAGAAAGCCACGGCUAACUACGUG